This is a non-coding RNA of Triticum urartu, 2606 nucleotides long. NCBI's taxonomy places the organism in Eukaryota, Viridiplantae, Streptophyta, Magnoliopsida, Poales, Poaceae. The record is from RefSeq and is a predicted model, not a curated record.
AAAAUUUUAUGAUAAGCCUUUCUCCAGGACAUAAAGAAAAUGGUGGCACUUUGGGUUUUGAAGACGCCGCCUCGCGUAGGACUACGAACAUGGGACGCUCAGUUGAGUUUUUCUUAACUCGUCAGGAUUCUCAUGCUGCAAAUUUAGUAACGGGGCAAAUUUUUUGGUGUCCUGGUGUGUUUGCGGAUUGAUGAAAAUUUGGCGAGGGAGAUCAUAAACCAUCGCUCGCUGCAGCACAUCAAUUGCUGAAUUCGUUUGAAGGAGCUGUCAAUUGUUGAAUUCGCUUGAAGGAGAUGGAGCUCGUUUGGCUGAAUUUGCUACUGAGCUGCCACAUUUUGAGGGCCUGCAAUUGAAGAAUACAACACUUGAGAUAACAAUUGAAGAAUACUAGAGUAAUAAUAACUACUGCAAGAUUGAUGUAUUUUCUUUUUGUUGGAGAUUUUCUGCAUCUUUUAUGGACGGUAACAUUUGAGAUAACAAUUUGAUGUGCUAACCAUCAAGAUCAACUUUGACAUGUUUGGUCUCUAAAAGUUACUAUUGACCAUCAUUGGUACAUCCUAUAAGGUAUAGUAAGUACUAUGAGUAACUUACCAGACAUUGACUGUAGAAGUUGCUAUCCAACUCUUGUGAAAUCUAACCAUGUUAUUCAUUUACGAUACCUGUACGUAUGUGGUACACAAUCUGAAAUAGUAGAAGGGGAAAAUAAAGCAUUAAUGUGGAGUAUGUUCCAAUGGAAAUCUUCAGGAACACCUUGAAGGUCUGAGUGCAAUUUUUCUUUAGUUCUCUGUGAGCUUAAAAAUGCAACUGAUGUGGCCCAUGCAACUGAAAUUAAAAACAUGGAGAAGAAUCAUAAAAGAUCUUGCUGAAAAUGCCCUCGUUCCGCACUUCGUGUGGACAGGCAGCGCCCUUUACCUUUGAAGUCUCGAAAAAUGGUCUGGGUGAUGCGGGUGCCUCAAUGCUUGAUGCCAUGUUCUGUAAGAGGCCAAGGUGAUUCUCAAGAGGAACAAGUCGCCAUGGACCGAUGAGAUCGAGAGACGGCUCCGCGGUUGCGUGGAGUGGCGGCUGAGAGGAGAGGCAACAACAACCCGUUGUCCGUGACGGCCCGAGCGUUUGCGAGAGGGGAUGGAGCGGGGGUUGCAUCGUCACGGCCAGUUGCCGGAGUGGAUGGAGUGGUGGCCGCACGGACGCGCUCCUGGAGGUGCCGGUAUGCACCCUGAUUUUGAGCCUGGGAGGUUCCUUGCUCUGCCCUAUCCUCAAGGGUGUUCAUCUACUUUGGUAUCGUGCUCUGGAGUCAGGACGAUGCACUAAUGCAGGUUUGAUUCUUUACUUUUCUUUUGUUUUAUUUGUAUGCAUAUCCCUGAAUUUUGUGAGCCGUGAUUUAAAUGUUGUCGUGUGUGCCAUUGUGUCCUAUAUAAUUAUUCUAUUGAAGCACCGCUGCAACCCAGUUUGUUUAUCAAAUUGAUGCAAGAAACAAACUAAUACAUAGAGAGUAUAAAUUUAUUGCAUUAAUCUGUAUAUCCCUGCACCUAGCGAUAGGUAGAGAUGGAUAAAUUUUGUAGCUUUUUGAUCCCGGUUUUUCCUAUUGAAAUUAUGGAUUUGGAAGCUAAUCAUGGAGUGUUUCGAUUGCCUGCUUACGGAAUCACAAUGAGCACAAGUCUGCAACCUUGAAGGAAAACCCGUUGCAACUGAUGACAUAAUAUUACGUCGCAACAAGAAUGUAUAGAGCUGCAGAGCUCUGUGGAUCCUUCUCUUCACAAAAGGAAACAAGAGGUAAUGUAAACAAUAGAUUCUCUUGUGAAAUUGCGAUUCAGCCUUGGGGCGUGGAUGGCGAGAAGCGGAGGCAUGUGCCUAGAGUAGCGGACCAUAAUGGAUUGAUGAGCUGAUGUCACGUGACGUACUCACGUGGCGGCUUGUUAGGCUCCGGCGGCUGGAGCCAUCAUCGACCAUGAUGCCACGCCAGGAGCACAAGGGCUAAGACGAGGACAUGUUGGUGCCGAUGAAAUAAGGUUUAUUGGGUCGUCCUCUUCCAGCAACAUAUUACACAAUCUAUUUAAGCCGAUUGAUUCUCUUUGGUACAAAUGUCCCUCAUUUAGUUGAUGAAACUCUACCUUAAUAAAAUUAAUUGAGUUGGGAACCAUAACAUAUAUACAUCUAUGACUGGUAUCUAUUUGGCUAUAUUAAACUGACAAUUUAUUCUUCUUACCGGAAGGAUAUGUCGUGAAGAUGAUUAAUUCUACAAACUAUACUGCUAAUUCAUCGGAAAUGACUACCAACUUGUUUAAUUCCGCAUGUGCAGGUGCUGCCGGUUGAUGGGGGCCUAACCAUGAGUCUAACUGAAAGUGAACGGGAGCGAUGUGCAGAAAAAAAUCUUAGCACAUAGGCUGAAUUUGUAUAGUACUUCGAAUUUAUUAGGCAGUACCCCCUCCAUUUGUAUAUCACUUCCGAAUACAAGUUCAGGUUAUUAGGCAGUACUAUUGAAUUUAAGGAUUGAUACUUGAAGAUUUUAAAAGGUUACUAAAUUUUGUACCAAGUCUACUGUUAUGUAUGGGAAGAACAUGCGCUAAAAUAUUGAUAAUGCAAAUGAAAGUGAUCGUUUGAUUAUUAAA